GCCAGGUGUGGUGGUGCACACCUGUAAUCCCAGCUACUUGGGAGACUGAGGCAGGAGACUCGCUUGAACCUGGGAGGCGGAGGUUGCAGUGAGCUGAGAUCUUGCCACUGCACUCCAGCCUGGGUGACAGAGCGAGACUCUGUCUCAA
This 148-nucleotide non-coding RNA is filed under the name Homo sapiens (human). Lineage: Eukaryota; Metazoa; Chordata; Mammalia; Primates; Hominidae. The record is from Rfam by way of RNAcentral.